RNAcentral lists this ribosomal RNA (498 nucleotides) under uncultured bacterium. RNAcentral's name for it is "partial 16S ribosomal RNA". It matches the Rfam family "Bacterial small subunit ribosomal RNA", at positions 29 to 523 of the family's 1533-position model. The record is from RNAcentral.
AUUGAACGCUGGCGGCAUGCCUUACACAUGCAAGUCGAACGGUAACGCGGGGCAACCUGGCGACGAGUGGCGAACGGGUGAGUAAUGCAUCGGAACGUGCCCAGUAGUGGGGGAUAGCCCGGCGAAAGCCGGAUUAAUACCGCAUACGACCUUCGGGUGAAAGGGGGGGAUCGCAAGACCUCUCGCUAUUGGAGCGGCCGAUGUCAGAUUAGGUAGUUGGUGGGGUAAAAGCCUACCAAGCCGACGAUCUGUAGCUGGUCUGAGAGGACGACCAGCCAUACUGGGACUGAGACACGGCCCAGACUCCUACGGGAGGCAGCAGUGGGGAAUUUUGGACAAUGGGCGCAAGCCUGAUCCAGCCAUGCCGCGUGCGGGAAGAAGGCCUUCGGGUUGUAAACCGCUUUUGUCAGGGAAGAAACGCUUCGAGCUAAUACCUCGGAGUAAUGACGGUACCUGAAGAAUAAGCACCGGCUAACUACGUGCCAGCCGCCGCAGUAA